This 3983-nucleotide long non-coding RNA is filed under the name Malus domestica (apple). RNAcentral's name for it is "long non-coding RNA (MDOM_LNC006608)". The record is from RNAcentral. Lineage: Eukaryota; Viridiplantae; Streptophyta; Magnoliopsida; Rosales; Rosaceae.
AAUAAUAUCUUGCAAUUAAUUUGGUAAUUAAUCCCAAUUUGAAAAGAAUAAUUGGCAGUUACCUUGUGAGUGAUGAUUUGAUGAAGAGUGAUGAGAGAGUUUUGAAUAAAUACCAUUUUGAUCUCCUUUGAUCUUAAUUGAGCCGUUAUUGUCCGUUGCAUACGUGUGGGAAUCCCAGUGUGCCUUGAGGGUAAUUUUGUCUUUUUGUCUUGGUUCCAUUUCCUUGAGUUGAGUAGACUCCUCCAUGUAAACGAAGCGCAUGAGAGAGAGAGAAUCAUAGAAUAUUCAUGUUCUAACUAUUUAUAACAGCUAAAGCCCAUAUGACAUUCAUAGAGAGUGAAAGAGAGAGAGAAGGAAAGAAGAGUCAAGUUCUAACUAUUUAUAAUGACAUAAAGCCCAUGGGGCAUUCAUCAUUGUCUUGAGCCUAAUUAAUAAAAAUGUGUCAUUAAUUAAGUCCAAAACAAAAAUAUGUCAUUGAUAUAUGGCUAGAUCGUAAAGUUUUUAUUGACUUUUACUAAAAUUACCUUUAUUUUAUUGUUUAACUAAUUAGUUAUAGGGGUAAAUUUGUCGAUUUAUUAGCACACUUUUAACUUAAGAGGUUAUGUGAAAAUGAAUUAAAACCUGAAGGGGUGUUAGUGUCAUGUCUCAAACAUAGGUAGAUUUUGGGAAAACUUGAUAAACCUCAUGAAGUGUUUGUGUAAUUAACCCUUCCACAAAGUAAUUUCUUUUGUUCUCUUAUCUUAUAGGGUUUAUAAUUUUUUUGUAUUAUUUGGAGGAUUUUAAAGAAGAAAGUAGUAUGAAUAGCAUAUAUCCAAGCUAUAAAGGAUAUGUAUGAUGGAGCAAGGACUGUCGUAAGAACUCAUGAAAGGCAAACUGAAAGCUUCCCCAUAACUGAAAGGUUGCAUGAAAGCUCAUCUUUAAGUCAUUACCUUUUUGCAUUGGUAAUGGAUGAGUUAACGAGACAUAUUCAAGAUGAUAUUCCUUGGUGUAUUCUUUUCGUAGAUGAUAUAGUGUUGAUAGAUGAAACUCAGGAAUGAGUAAUUGCGAAGCUUAACCUUUGGAGAGAAGUGUUGGAAUCUAAAGGUCUUUGCCUAAGUGUUGGAGUGCAAGUUCAGUGCAAACGUAGGCUCAAAUGAAUUAGGGAUGAGGAUUGGAUAUCAGAAAGUACCAAAGAGGGACCAUUAUUCACUACCUAAGAUCUAUCUUGCAAAAGAACGGAGAGUUGGAUGGAGACCUCAACCAUAGAAUACAAGCUGGAUGGAUGAAGUGGAAGUGUGACUGUCGUAUGCCACUGAAGCUCAAGGGAAAAUUUUAUAGAACGGCAAUAAGGCCGGCAAUGCUUUAUGACACGGAAUGUUGGGUGGUGAAGCAUCAACACGUACAUAAAAUGGGUGUAGCGGAGAUGAGAAUGCUUCGUUGGAUGUGUAUGCACAUGAGAAAUGAUAAGAUUAGGAAUGAGGAUAUCCGAGGUAAAGUAGGAGUAGCCGAAAUUGAAGGAAAGAUGAGAGAAAAUCGAUUACGGUGGUUUGGACAUGUCAAACGAGGGCCUACUGACGCUCCGGUUAGAAGAUGCGAUUAUGAGACAGAGGUUCAGGGCCAAAGGAGUAGAUGAAGACCUAAGAAGACUUUGGAAGAGACUUUAAGAAAAAACUUAGAACACUUGGAUUUAACGGAAGAUGUGGCACAAUACCAAGCACAAUGGCGUUAUAUGAUUCAUACAGCUGACCUCACUUAAUGAGAAAAUGUUUUGUUGUUGUUUGUUUGUUUGUUAUUAAGGUUUAUAAUUAAAAAGAGAUAUUAGACAAGGAAAGUAACUAUACCCUCGUUAUUGAAGAUUCCAUUGAAAAACAAAGUCAAUAGCUUUAUGAUUACCACACAAAAAAAAGGUCAAUAACUUUAUAUAAUUACCUGGUUUGAGGAUUUUCCGAAUUUAAAAAGAUUGCUGGUUUUUUUAGUUUUGGUAUAUGCACUUGAAUUUUGAAGGUGAAUUAUUAGAAUAACUAUACCAGUUUUUGUCUUCCUCAAGCUGUGGAAAACAUUUUAAUAAGAAAAUGGAGGAUGUAAACUCAAUUAAUUUAAUCAAGAGCCCAUUUAAAACACAAGGUAAUCACUUUUUCAUUUUAAAAGAUGUGCCGGUGUAGAUAUAAUAAGUGGGGAGAACAAAAUGUUUUACACAUGAGGCAUGUACAUGAACUGCCGCCAGCCAGAAGGGCAAAUGAAUCCUUUGCAUGCCUUAACCUAUUCUUUCGUUUUGAGCAUCAUCAAUGAAUAGACGGGGUCACGGGCUGUAUAAUAUACAUGUUGGCCGAAAAAUAUAAAUUUACAUCUUUUUACAUUUUGAGGUGGGAUUUUUGGCAGAGCCAAGAUUUCAUGUGAAGAAUGACCUUUUCCAAUUGCAAAAAAAAAAAGACGGAUAACAAGUACAAAAUUAUUAACCCAAAACAUCAUAAUAACACAUGCAUUGAUAAUAUAUACUCAAUAAUCAAAACCUCUUACGAAUUGUCAUAUUUUGAAAUCGUUGAAUGAUGAACAAUCAACAAUAAAAGGUAUGAUAAACGAUCAACAAUAAAAAAAUUUAUAGAGAAUAAGAUAAAUUUUACAAAUAAUAUUGUUGUUUGUUGAAUUAAUUUGAACUUCCGUAUGACAAUACAUAUGAAAUUUCUAGAAAUGGGAAGAAGAAUAGCUUUGUAGUCUUGAAGUCCUACUUCCUGGGUUGCACCGUGAAAGAAACAGAUCAAAGAAGAUUUUUUUUUAGUUAAAGGUUAUUGAUUUUAUAUCAAAUAAAUAUGGUAAAAUAAAUAAUGUUGGGAUGGAAUCAGACCUAGGAGUUAGGAAUUUUGUAAUUUUUUUGGUACAAAGUUAAAUACGUUAUCAAACACAAAUAAGCACAAACAAAUAAAAGUGGACAUACCAAACUAGCCCAAAACCUAACCAACAAUUAUGGCCCAAACCGUAAAAUACAGCAAAAGAAGGCCUAGCCUUCCACUGCAGCCGCCACCGAGCAUCUCUACCAGCACAAUCCCACACCACCAACUGACCGACGCCCCGCCAAUUGCAACAUCAAGCCACGAGCACCUCUCCUAACACAAUCACAAAGAUGAGAACCAACAACCAAGUAAAGAAAGCCCGUGGGAUUCCACGAGCAACACUGCCAACAAAGGUAGAUAGUGAGAAGGUGGUGGUAUUGAACACCCGAUCCGAUGGGAACACUGGAAUUCUACACACCAUCUAGAAGUACUGCAACAAAUCGUUAUUAUGAAGCGACUGCAUAUCAGAGCAGAAAUGAGCAAGGAGGAGGGACGCCGAUGGGGUGUGAAGAAAUGGGUAUAUCAUGAAGGAUAGCAGGGGAGAAAUAGCAGAAGGAAAGAGAAGAGGAAAAGGAAAGCACAAUGGCGGAGCUAGAAAAUCAGAUUAGAAUGAGCCUUUAAAGCCCUACAAAAAAAAAAUUAGAAAAAUUAAUCACAAUACAAAUAAUGAGAGGAAAAUUAAUGUUUUUUUUUUGUAGUGAUAUGAAAAAUUUUAAUCAAAUAAGAACGGUGGAGCCUUAAUUUGUAUAAAAAUCUUAGUAUCAAAAUGAUUAUAUCAAUAAGAACAAAACUUGUUUACAAGUUUUGAUAUAAAAAAAUUUCACACAUUAAAUUCAAACUAAAUUUAAGGUUGUAACUUAAAAUAAGACAUUGCUCUCGAUUAUAUGGAUUUUUAUAGUUAAAACAUAAGGCCAAUUAUAACAACAACAAAAAAAAAUAAGGGUUAGCUUUAAUAUGGUAAAAAAAUAAGAUAAAUGAAAAGGGUUACUUUUAUUUCAGUAAAAAAAAAUAUUUGAAAGUGUUAGCAUACCAAAAGGUCUCAAACCAUGGCCUUUUGGAAGUGCAAAACACCACUAAACCAUGGGGCACACGCUAGUUUUUGUAAGCAUUUGUAGAUAAUAGGUAUUAAACAUUGUAAUUGUAGGGUAGGCCUAUGCCAAUUCUAGGCUCUAUGUG